Desulfosporosinus sp. OT is the source of this 101-nucleotide non-coding RNA. The record is from Rfam. NCBI's taxonomy places the organism in Bacteria, Bacillati, Bacillota, Clostridia, Eubacteriales, Desulfitobacteriaceae.
UAUGUUUGCUAGGGGUGCCCUUUGGGGCUGAGAUGAGGAAACUCGAUCCCUUUGAACCUGAUCUGGUUAAUACCAGCGGAGGAAAGCAAUAGUUUUACUUA